GAGUUUGAUCCUGGCUCAGAUUGAACGCUGGCGGCAUGCCUUACACAUGCAAGUCGAACGGCAGCAUGAUCUAGCUUGCUAGAUUGAUGGCGAGUGGCGAACGGGUGAGUAAUACAUCGGAACGUGCCCUGUAGUGGGGAUAACUAGUCGAAAGAUUAGCUAAUACCGCAUACGACCUGAGGGUGAAAGUGGGGGACCGCAAGGCCUCAUGCUAUAGGAGCGGCCGAUGUCUGAUUAGCUAGUUGGUGGGGUAAAGGCCCACCAAGGCGACGAUCAGUAGCUGGUCUGAGAGGACGAUCAGCCACACUGGGACUGAGACACGGCCCAGACUCCUACGGGAGGCAGCAGUGGGGAAUUUUGGACAAUGGGCGAAAGCCUGAUCCAGCAAUGCCGCGUGUGUGAAGAAGGCCU
RNAcentral lists this ribosomal RNA (411 nucleotides) under uncultured microorganism. RNAcentral's name for it is "bacterial SSU rRNA". It matches the Rfam family "Bacterial small subunit ribosomal RNA", at positions 9 to 417 of the family's 1533-position model. The record is from RNAcentral.